Molecule: ribosomal RNA, 253 nt
Filed under: uncultured prokaryote
Description: partial 16S ribosomal RNA
Rfam family: Bacterial small subunit ribosomal RNA
Source: RNAcentral
UACGGGGGGGGCAAGCGUUGUUCGGAAUUACUGGGCGUAAAGGGCUCGUAGGUGGCCAACUAAGUCAGACGUGAAAUCCCUCGGCUUAACCGGGGAACUGCAUCUGAUACUGGAUGGCUUGAGUUUGGGAGAGGGACGCGGAAUUCCAGGUGUAGCGGUGAAAUGCGCAGAUAUCGGGAAGAACACCCGUGGCGAAGGCGGCUCUCUGGGACGGUACUGACGCUGAGACGCGAAAGCGUGGGGAGCGAACAGG